UACGAAGGGUGCAAGCGUUACUCGGAAUUACUGGGCGUAAAGGGCGCGUAGGCGGGCCCGCAAGUCAGGGGUGAAAUCCCACGGCUCAACCGUGGAAGUGCCUUUGAUACUGUGGGUCUUGAGGGAGGUAGGGGCGUGCGGAACUUCCGGUGGAGCGGUGAAAUGCGUAGAUAUCGGAAGGAACACCGGUGGCGAAAGCGGCGCGCUGGACCUCUUCUGACGCUGAGGCGCGAAAGCCAGGGGAGCAAACGGG
Molecule: ribosomal RNA, 253 nt
Filed under: uncultured bacterium
Lineage: Bacteria
Description: partial 16S ribosomal RNA
Rfam family: Bacterial small subunit ribosomal RNA
Source: RNAcentral